This 432-nucleotide ribosomal RNA is filed under the name uncultured bacterium. RNAcentral describes it as "partial 16S ribosomal RNA". It matches the Rfam family "Bacterial small subunit ribosomal RNA", at positions 29 to 506 of the family's 1533-position model. The record is from RNAcentral.
AGCGAACGCUGGCGGCAGGCCUAACACAUGCAAGUCGAACGAACUCUUCGGAGUUAGUGGCGGACGGGUGAGUAACACGUGGGAACGUGCCUUUAGGUUCGGAAUAACUCAGGGAAACUUGUGCUAAUACCGAAUGUGCCCUUCGGGGGAAAGAUUUAUCGCCUUUAGAGCGGCCCGCGUCUGAUUAGCUAGUUGGUGAGGUAAAGGCUCACCAAGGCGACGAUCAGUAGCUGGUCUGAGAGGAUGAUCAGCCACAUUGGGACUGAGACACGGCCCAAACGGCUGCCGGAGGCGGCAGUGGGGGAACUUGCGGAGGGGGCGAGAGGCUGAAACAGCGAGGGCGGGUGAAUGGUCAGCGUGUUAGAAAUGUAAAACUCUUGCACCGGAGCGGGUGAGGAGGGAACCCGGAGAAGAGGCCCCGGCUAAUUUCUU